UUGAACGCUGGCGGCAGGCCUAACACAUGCAAGUCGAACGGUAACAGGAAGAAGCUUGCNCCUUUGCUGACGAGUGGCGGACGGGUGAGUAAUGUCUGGGAAACUGCCUGGAUGGAGGGGGAUAACUACUGGAAACGGUAGCUAAUACCGCAUAACGUCGCAAGACCAAAGAGGGGGACCUUCGGGCCUCUUGCCAUCGGAUGUGCCCAGAUGGGAUUAGCUAGUAGUGGGGUAACGGCUCACCUAGGCGACGAUCCCUAGCUGGUCUGAGAGGAUGACCAGCCACACUGGAACUGAGACACGGUCCAGACUCCUACGGGAGGCAGCAGUGGGGAAUAUUGCACAAUGGGCGCAAGCCUGAUGCAGCCAUGCCGCGUGUAUGAAGAAGGCCUUCGGGUUGUAAAGUACUUUCAGCGGGGAGGAAGGGAGUAAAGUUAAUACCUUUGCUCAUUGACGUUACCCGCAGAAGAAGCACCGGCUAACUCCGUG
Molecule: ribosomal RNA, 489 nt
Filed under: uncultured bacterium
Lineage: Bacteria
Description: bacterial SSU rRNA
Rfam family: Bacterial small subunit ribosomal RNA
Source: RNAcentral